RNAcentral lists this long non-coding RNA (801 nucleotides) under Homo sapiens (human). RNAcentral's name for it is "non-protein coding lnc-CHN2-4:1". The record is from RNAcentral. Lineage: Eukaryota; Metazoa; Chordata; Mammalia; Primates; Hominidae.
AAUUACUCAAAGGAAGCGUUGGGGUAAGGUGGAUCUGGCUAAACCUAACAGGAUUCUCACUGAAGACAGGCCAGGGUGAUCAGACAUCACCUGGGGGAUGGUGCAGGAUGAGAAACCUGGUCAGACAUUGAGGCGAUCGGAUGUUGAUGUUGCUGGUUCUUGGUAAAACGACUUAGCUAGUGUCCUUUGCUAAAACUGGAUUUUACAAGGACGUGCACAAACAGGCCUAGCAGGAGAUUCAGAAGCCUGACUAAAAUUUGGCCAAGGAAAAAAAUCCUUGUCACCAGGAAAGUGAGGACUAUUGUCACCAAAUUCAGACUGCCAAUUGUUAAACAUUUACCUGCACAUACUGGGCUCAUCUUCAUUAUUGGUAAAAUGAGCUAGAUGCUAUUUUCCAUUAGCUCACACUCCAAUUCCAAUCGACCUGACCAUCAGAAGAGACAAAAAGGGAAAAUCCUGGCCAGUUCUCCCCUACCUGAUCAACCAGUAGCAUAAUCAGAUUUGCAAGACCUCAAGAAAAGAAACCUGAAAAUGCCACUGGAGGUGUGUGUUUUGCCAAAGAAAAAAGAAUCAAAAACAAAACCUGCAGGAUGAGGACAAACAAACAAAGAGCAGGUAUUUAAACCAGCCUUAUAUUCUCCCCUUCACUCGUUUCCACUUCCCCACUUUACACUAUCGAUUACUCCAAUCAAAGGAUACAUAUCUUUCAUAUAAUAACCAUUGUAGCUGCAAUUAAAAUAGUUAUUGCCCGGCACAUUGGCUCAUGCCUGUAAUCCUGGCACUUUGGGAGGCCAAGGCGGG